Molecule: ribosomal RNA, 486 nt
Filed under: uncultured bacterium
Lineage: Bacteria
Description: partial 16S ribosomal RNA
Rfam family: Bacterial small subunit ribosomal RNA
Source: RNAcentral
AUGCACGCUAGCGAUAGGCUUAACACCUGCAAGUCGCGGGGCAGCACAAGGUAGCUUGCUAUCUGGGUGGCGACCGGCGCACGGGUGCGUAACGCGUAUGCAACUUGCCCUAUACAGGAGGAUAACCCGUCGAAAGACGGACUAAUACUGCGUAUGCUCACAACUUGGCAUCAAGUGGUGAGGAAAGAAAUUCGGUAUAGGAUAGGCAUGCGUCCCAUUAGCUUGUUGGUGAGGUAACGGCUCACCAAGGCAACGAUGGGUAGGGGAACUGAGAGGUUUAUCCCCCACACUGGUACUGAGACACGGACCAGACUCCUACGGGAGGCAGCAGUGAGGAAUAUUGGUCAAUGGGCGCGAGCCUGAACCAGCCAAGUCGCGUGAAGGAUGACUGUCUUAUGGAUUGUAAACUUCUUUUAUACGGGAAUAACAAGAGUCACGUGUGACUCCCUGCAUGUACCGGAUGAAUAAGCAUCGGCUAACUCCGUG